Trichoplusia ni (cabbage looper) is the source of this 896-nucleotide RNA transcript. It is a transcript of the gene named RNA-binding protein Rsf1, with no coding region annotated. The transcript has 3 exons. Lineage: Eukaryota; Metazoa; Arthropoda; Insecta; Lepidoptera; Noctuidae. The record is from RefSeq and is a predicted model, not a curated record.
UCCGUUGCGUUUCUCUAACGAUCGUUCAUUCACUCAUAAAUUUCGUCGACUCUUUUAUGUCUUCACAAUUUAUAUUUAAAAUAGUUGAAAUAUAGUUAUAAAUUAGGUAAUUUUAGGUCGAUUUUAAUUCCUUAUCAUUUUUAUAUCAACGUUUCACAUUACAACACAAUCAUGAGUUCUGGUGGUACUCGCGUGUAUGUCGGCGGAUUAGUAGAAGGCAUCAAGAAGGAAGACCUCGAAAGAGAAUUCGAUAAAUACGGAAAACUAAACUCCGUUUGGGUGGCACUCAACCCUCCGGGUUUUGCAUUCAUAGAAUUUGAGAACUUGCAGGAGGCUGAGGAUGCGUGUAGCGCGAUGAAUGGAUUCGAGAUGUUAGGCGCGACCCUCAAAGUAGAGAUCUCUAGGAAGCGAGAUGGGCCCCGCAGGGGUGGCGGCUUCCGUGGAGGACGCGGCGGCGGCAACUUCAGGGGUCGCGGCUUCGGCGGCCCGCCCGGUGGUGGCAACAGAUCCUUCAACUCGUACGGCGGCGGCCGGCCCUACAAUCGCAACAACCAGCGCGAUGAGUACGGCUCCGGCGGCGGUAACUUCAGAUCUAGGUCGCCAUUGUCUCGAUAUUAAUUUAGUAUUAGUUUUAUGUUAGGUGUUAGUGUUAUCGUAAUCUGAAGCCUUCCUAAGUGUUAAAUUCAAUGUCUGGUAAAAACUGGGGGUUCAAUAUUAAUACUAGGAGGUGUUCCAUUGAUGUCUCAAGGAAUUAGAGUUCCUUGGAUUUCUGAUCUCGGGUCAUUUGAUUUGUCGAGAAGUUAAUGCAAGAACAAUCCUUCAGUGAUUACUUAACAUUCUGCCUAAGCACCCUAAUUGCUAAGUUUCUUUAAAAAAAUAUAUGAUUAUAUAAUUCA